RNAcentral lists this long non-coding RNA (1060 nucleotides) under Linum usitatissimum (flax). RNAcentral's name for it is "long non-coding RNA (LUSI_LNC002670)". The record is from RNAcentral. Lineage: Eukaryota; Viridiplantae; Streptophyta; Magnoliopsida; Malpighiales; Linaceae.
AGACGACCAAAAAAAUGGUAGAUGGAAGAAGCAGUGGAAGAAAGGUUCUGGUUUCCAUGGCCAUAAGCUUGGUCCUGUUAGUUGCCUUCUCGUCGGAGCUCAGCGGGUCGUACGUCUCUCGAAACUCGGUAAGUACAAUGAUUUGGACUAGUAUAGUGGGUCCGGUCAAGUUGAUGUUGGGUUUGUUCCAUCUAACAAGUCAAAAGGGAUUAUUGUUAUUAGGUUUAACAAUCUGUCUAAUCGAUAAUAGAGAGAUCAUUUGUUAGAUGCCAUCCGAAAAUUCAACCUAACAUAGACUUCGGUAGCAUCACAUGUCUAGUUUAGUUGGUAAAGCCCAAAGGCUUUUAACUUUAUAAUUGUGGAUUUGUGCCCACAGUGGACAUACUUGAAGACUUCGGGAUUUUCUUUAGUUUUGUUCAGAAUUUUUUGUUCUAUCUACUAUGAUAAAAUUUUCAUUUAUAACAAAAAAAACAACUAAUUAACAACUCAUGUAGCUGGUUUUAAACUAGCAGAUUCUUAUCGUGUUCAUAUACCACUUUCAUCUUUGACCCAUAUUCUAAACUUCAAAUCUCAUUAAUUUGGAAAGUUUUCGAUUGAGGGGAACAUGUUAUAGGAUAAAUUAUAUCGAUUUUCUAAACUUUCAUGUUAUUGGGAUAGUAAUAGUUAUACGAGUAAGAUUUUUGAGGCUUCCUCGACUUUCGCAGGUGAACAACAAGAGACAAAGAAUCUUGAAGAACUUCGAGAAUCGAAAAUUUCUGCAAGCGGAAGUGAUUCACACGUAAGCCACCAUGGGAAUCAUAGGCGUGGUAAUGACGGUGGUCGACGAUUACUUCAAAUCACCACUUCUACUAUGAUAUAAUUGUUGUAUGUACAAAACUUAAGUUGCUUUGUGUUCAAAUCUACCCUAGGAAUUUUCAAUCUAAAUAUUUCAUAGUAGUAAUAAAAGUCUAUGAUACACCGCCCGUUAUAGCUUCGAUAUCAUGUUAGAACAUGACUUAAUAAAAGUAGAACGCAAAAUUAUUCAUUGUAUUAUUGAAGUCAAGUAUUUAUAAUAUCCAAG